AUUAUGUAGGAUAGAUAUAAAAGGAAAGAGAGUUAGAGAAAUUGUUGAAGGGGAGAGGGAAAAUGAAAGAGAACCAGAUGGGGAGGGAGAAAGAAAAACAAAAAGAAAAAAAAUUACAUUACUUUAUUCUACUUUUUCGAACAAAUUUCUUUUUAUUCCACUUAGAGCAAGUCCAACAGCAGGAGGUGGACUCGGGCUGGGGGGG
Molecule: long non-coding RNA, 205 nt
Filed under: Prunus persica (peach)
Lineage: Eukaryota; Viridiplantae; Streptophyta; Magnoliopsida; Rosales; Rosaceae
Description: long non-coding RNA (PPER_LNC003031)
Source: RNAcentral